GGGGAUUUGGCUCAGUGGUAGAGCGUUUGCCGAGCAAGCACAAGGCCCUGGGUUCGGUCCCCAGCUCCA
Rattus norvegicus (Norway rat) is the source of this 69-nucleotide non-coding RNA. Lineage: Eukaryota; Metazoa; Chordata; Mammalia; Rodentia; Muridae. The record is from Rfam.